Protopterus annectens (West African lungfish) is the source of this 385-nucleotide long non-coding RNA. RefSeq lists it as uncharacterized. The transcript is spliced from 4 exons. The record is from RefSeq and is a predicted model, not a curated record. NCBI's taxonomy places the organism in Eukaryota, Metazoa, Chordata, Ceratodontiformes, Protopteridae.
GAACUCUACCUACUAAACCCCAUCCCUCAUCUUAAGGGAAAUCUACCAUUACAGAUUGUGAAAUUUGCUAGGUGGACCCUGUACUCACUGGCAUUAACUGACUCUGCCCUCCGGGAAGACCUGAACUCUACCUACUAAACCCCAUCCCUCAUCUUAAGGGAAAUCUACCAUUACAGAUUGUGAAAUUUGCUAGGUGGACCCUGUACUCACUGGCAUUAACUGACUCUGCCCUCCGGGAAGACCUGAACUCUACCUACUAAACCCCAUCCCUCAUCUUAAGGGAAAUCUACCAUUACAGAUUGUGAAAUUUGCUAGGUGGACCCUGUACUCACUGGCAUUAACUGACUCUGCCCUCCGGGAAGACCUGAACUCUACCUACUAAACC